AGUCGUAACAAGGUUUCCGUAGGUGAACCUGCGGAAGGAUCAUUAUUGAGAUAGUCAGAAGCCUAUUAGGUCACCCAAACGCUUUGAAAUAUUAGCGGAAUGGCGAGUAAUACAAUCGGCAUGACCGUUUGAAUCCAAGGCAGCUAUCCACCCGUGUAUAUAUACUCUGUUGGCUUUCCGGGCGUUCAUACCCCGGAGAGAACCCCAACUCUCGAAUUUUAUGGAACGUCUGAGUACUAUAUAAUAGUUAAA
RNAcentral lists this unclassified non-coding RNA (252 nucleotides) under plant metagenome. RNAcentral's name for it is "partial contains small subunit ribosomal RNA and internal transcribed spacer 1". The stretch from base 1 to 45 matches the Rfam family "Eukaryotic small subunit ribosomal RNA", at positions 1787 to 1831 of the family's 1831-position model. The record is from RNAcentral.